GACAGAGGAGCCAAGCGUUGUCCGGAUUGACUGGGCGUAAAGCGCACGCAGGUGGUUGUGCAAGUGUCGUGUGAAAGCAGCUCGCUUAACGAGCCAUGGCAGACUGCGCGGCUCGAGCCCGUGAGAGGUCCGUGGAAUUGCCGGUGUAGUGGUGACAUGCGUAGAUAUCGGCAGGAACACCCAAGGGGAAGCCAGCGGACUGGCACGGUGCUGACACUGAGGUGCGAGAGCGUGGGGAGCGAACCGG
Molecule: ribosomal RNA, 247 nt
Filed under: uncultured bacterium
Lineage: Bacteria
Description: partial 16S ribosomal RNA
Rfam family: Bacterial small subunit ribosomal RNA
Source: RNAcentral